Molecule: long non-coding RNA, 449 nt
Filed under: Phoenix dactylifera (date palm)
Lineage: Eukaryota; Viridiplantae; Streptophyta; Magnoliopsida; Arecales; Arecaceae
Description: long non-coding RNA (PDAC_LNC011107)
Source: RNAcentral
AGGUGUCGGUAUAUAAUAAAUCUCUGAAGAUCUCGCCCUCUAAACAUAUGUCAUGAUGUCUAAAUAUCAGUAUGAGUACCAUACCGUAUGGUAAAGAGACUCUCGAUCUGGAUAUGGCCUCACGCAUCUGUCUAAUCAUCAUGGCUGGAAGAUUUAGGGGAAUAUCCUGAAUAACAUACUCCAUAAUUGCCAGAUCACGCUCAGACACAUGGUCGAAUCUUCCACUCUUCGGAAAUAGUAUCCGACCUAUGAAGUUAUGAAGCAAUCUCAUCUCAGCAGGAAAAGAGCUAGCCACCAAAUGUUUUGAAUAAUCUAUCUCAUCUCUCUCCAUAAUCAGCUGUAAAGUUCUAAUCUUGUGCUCUGGUCUGUCGAGUAUGGCACCCUCACAUGGAAGAUGAAGCAACUGUCCUAGGCUCUCCUUAGAAAUAUGGACUCGAACUCCACAAACC